AUGGAUGAGCCAUGGAUAGUGUUUGGCGAUUUCAACGAAAUCUUAUUCUCGGAUGAAAAGGAAGGAGGAGCACCCAGAGAGCAAAGAUGUAUGCAAGCAUUCAUGGAUGUUCUGUCCGAGUGCGAGUUGGAAGAUUUGGGUGCUACGGGAGACUCGUACACAUGGAGCAGAGGGAGUAUUAAGGAAAGGUUGGAUAGAGCUGUAUGUAACUCAUGGUGGAAUUUGUUAUUUCCUAAUUUGGGUGUCAUAAAUGGUGAAAUGACAAAAUCUGAUCACCGUCCGUUGGUGAUUGUGAAGGAAAUAUGCCCUAGAGGCAAUAAUAAAGUUGUUAUUUAUAUUUCCUUAUAUCAUGAUAAAUGUUUAUUAUUCACGCUAGAAUUGUAUUAA
RNAcentral lists this ribosomal RNA (387 nucleotides) under Triticum aestivum (bread wheat). Its description in RNAcentral is "partial small subunit ribosomal RNA". The record is from RNAcentral. Lineage: Eukaryota; Viridiplantae; Streptophyta; Magnoliopsida; Poales; Poaceae.